GGGUCGGUUCCAGAGCGGUCAAAUGGGUCAGACUGUAAAUCUGAUGGCUUUCGCCUUCGUAGGUUCGAAUCUUACCCGGCCCACAA
RNAcentral lists this transfer RNA (86 nucleotides) under Candidatus Falkowiibacteriota bacterium. Its description in RNAcentral is "tRNA-Tyr". It matches the Rfam family "tRNA". From Rfam's summary of the family: Transfer RNA (tRNA) molecules are approximately 80 nucleotides in length. Their secondary structure includes four short double-helical elements and three loops (D, anti-codon, and T loops). Further hydrogen bonds mediate the characteristic L-shaped molecular structure. tRNAs have two regions of fundamental functional importance: the anti-codon, which is responsible for specific mRNA codon recognition, and the 3' end, to which the tRNAs corresponding amino acid is attached (by aminoacyl-tRNA synthetases). tRNAs cope with the degeneracy of the genetic code in two manners: having more than one tRNA (with a specific anti-codon) for a particular amino acid; and 'wobble' base-pairing, i.e. permitting non-standard base-pairing at the 3rd anti-codon position. The record is from RNAcentral. Lineage: Bacteria; Candidatus Falkowiibacteriota.